This 773-nucleotide ribosomal RNA is filed under the name uncultured bacterium. Its description in RNAcentral is "bacterial SSU rRNA". It matches the Rfam family "Bacterial small subunit ribosomal RNA", at positions 8 to 798 of the family's 1533-position model. The record is from RNAcentral.
AGAGUUUGAUCCUGGCUCAGGACGAACGCCGGCGGCGUGCUUAACACAUGCAAGUCGAACGGAAAGGCCCUUCGGGGUACUCGAGUGGCGAACGGGUGAGUAACACGUGGGUGAUCUGCCCUGCACUUUGGGAUAAGCCUGGGAAACUGGGUCUAAUACCGAAUAUGACCAUGCACUUCCUGGUGUGUGGUGGAAAGCUUUUGCGGUGUGGGAUGGGCCCGCGGCCUAUCAGCUUGUUGGUGGGGUAAUGGCCUACCAAGGCGACGACGGGUAGCCGGCCUGAGAGGGUGACCGGCCACACUGGGACUGAGAUACGGCCCAGACUCCUACGGGAGGCAGCAGUGGGGAAUAUUGCACAAUGGGCGCAAGCCUGAUGCAGCGACGCCGCGUGAGGGAUGACGGCCUUCGGGUUGUAAACCUCUUUCAGCACAGACGAAGCGCAAGUGACGGUAUGUGCGGAAGAAGGACCGGCCAACUACGUGCCAGCAGCCGCGGUAAUACGUAGGGUCCGAGCGUUGUCCGGAAUUACUGGGCGUAAAGAGCUCGUAGGUGGUUUGUCGCGUUGUUCGUGAAAACUCACAGCUUAACUGUGGGCGUGCGGGCGAUACGGGCAGACUUGAGUACUGCAGGGGAGACUGGAAUUCCUGGUGUAGCGGUGGAAUGCGCAGAUAUCAGGAGGAACACCGGUGGCGGAGGCGGGUCUCUGGGCAGUAACUGACGCUGAGGAGCGAAAGCGUGGGGAGCGAACAGGAUUAGAUACCCUGGUAGUCCAA